Lolium rigidum is the source of this 527-nucleotide long non-coding RNA. RefSeq lists it as uncharacterized. The record is from RefSeq and is a predicted model, not a curated record. NCBI's taxonomy places the organism in Eukaryota, Viridiplantae, Streptophyta, Magnoliopsida, Poales, Poaceae. The transcript has 4 exons.
GCGGAAUUGUGGCGAGAUCUGAGCGGGCCAGCGGGGAGCUUGUCAUGCGUGAGGGCGGCGAGUUAGUCGGGGGAGGGCGAGCUUUGGGAGCGAGGUCAGGGUGCUCGGGAGACGAUGAUGCGUGACGGAGAUGCCUAGGUCGAGUACCUGAGAGACCUUAGCUUCACCGUCGCCGUGCGGGUGGAGAUCUUGGCACCGUUGCUCCAGGACAUUCCCCUUGACACGCACUCGCCGGUGGUUCGGUCCAGCGCGACCCUGCCCCGCAGUCAUCUGGGACAAGCACGAGGAGCUGCCGCUGGUCUGGUUCCCCAGAUGCGCCGCGACCAACUGUUGUUGCUGCUGACCGACCCCUCGCCAUCGUGAGCUGGGUACAUGCUACCCAAGGCCGCGGCGAUGGCAAAGAUGGUCCAGGAGGGCGCCCACUCUGACUGCUUGCUCAACUUGGACGACGACGACCUGCAGGUUUUUCACUCAUAUCUACUUACAAUCGAUAUGGGCUAGUGCAACCUGCAUUUGCGCGCGAAGAA